Molecule: ribosomal RNA, 253 nt
Filed under: uncultured bacterium
Lineage: Bacteria
Description: partial 16S ribosomal RNA
Rfam family: Bacterial small subunit ribosomal RNA
Source: RNAcentral
UACGUAGGCGGCGAGCGUUGUCCGGAUUUACUGGGCGUAAAGGGCGUGCAGGCGGUUCGUUAAGUCUAGGGUGAAAGCUCCCGGCUCAACUGGGAGAGGUCCUUGGAUACUGGCGGACUUGAGGAGGGUAGAGGAGAGCGGAAUUCUCGGUGUAGUGGUGAUAUGCGUAGAUAUCGAGAGGAACACCAGUGGCGAAGGCGGCUCUCUGGGCCCUACCUGACGCUGAGACGCGAAAGCGUGGGGAGCGAACCGG